RNAcentral lists this ribosomal RNA (271 nucleotides) under uncultured bacterium. RNAcentral's name for it is "partial 16S ribosomal RNA". It matches the Rfam family "Bacterial small subunit ribosomal RNA", at positions 524 to 794 of the family's 1533-position model. The record is from RNAcentral.
UACGUAGGUGGCAAGCGUUGUCCGGAUUUAUUGGGUUUAAAGGGUGCGUAGGCGGCCCUGUAAGUCAGUGCUGAAAUAUCCCGGCUUAACCGGGAGGGUGGCAUUGAUACUGCAGGGCUUGAGUACAGAUGAGGUAGGCGGAAUUGACGGUGUAGCGGUGAAAUGCAUAGAUAUCGUCAAGAACACCGAUAGCGAAGGCAGCUUACUAGACUGUAACUGACGCUGAGGCACGAAAGUGUGGGGAUCAAACAGGAUUAGAAACCCUGGUAGU